GACGAACGCUGGCGGCGUGCUUAACACAUGCAAGUCGAGGGCACUAUUGGGGCAACCUGGUAGUGACCGGCGAACGGGUGCGUAACACGUGAGCGACCUUGCCUCGUGGUGGGGGAUAGCCGGCCCAACGGCCGGGUAAUACCGCAUAUGGUAGUUUCUUCGCAUGAGGAGACUAGCAAAGCCUUGGAGCAAUCCAAUGGCACCACGAGGGGGGC
RNAcentral lists this ribosomal RNA (215 nucleotides) under uncultured bacterium. RNAcentral describes it as "partial 16S ribosomal RNA". It matches the Rfam family "Bacterial small subunit ribosomal RNA", at positions 28 to 230 of the family's 1533-position model. The record is from RNAcentral.